GGUAACCCUUACGGGAGCCAGCCGCCGAAGGUGGGACAGAUGAUUGGGGUGAAGUCGUAACAAGGUAGCCGUAUCGGAAGGUGCGGCUGGAUCACCUCCUUUCUAAGGA
This 109-nucleotide ribosomal RNA is filed under the name Sporosarcina sp. HYO08. RNAcentral's name for it is "partial 16S ribosomal RNA". It matches the Rfam family "Bacterial small subunit ribosomal RNA", at positions 1434 to 1533 of the family's 1533-position model. Lineage: Bacteria; Bacillati; Bacillota; Bacilli; Caryophanales; Caryophanaceae. The record is from RNAcentral.